AAAAUAAUAUCUUUAAAUUAUGAAUAAUAUAAUAAAGAAAAAUCUUAAAUGAAAAAUUCUUUUUACAAUUACAUGAUUGUUUUUUAGUAUAGAUUUGGUUAGAGGUUAGGUGAUUGGCGUAAGGAAGGAUGGGUGAGGAUAGAGGCUUAUGGUGUGUGGGGGAGGUAGUUAUUUUUUUUUUUUUUGAUAAAAUUGAAAGGGUACCAGAACAAUUUCAACCAAUUCAAGAAGAGGAGGAGUUUGAGGAAGAAAUUAAGGAUGAAUGUAAUAGUUUUCGACCCGACGAUCCAUAUGGGAAGAAGCCCAUGGAAGCAACGGUAACCCUCCCUCGAAAGCCACAAAUCUCUGAUGUGAGGGCAUCCACGAGCUCCAAAAUUGAUGAACCAGUACAAAUUGAGCAGAAUCUAGGGGAUUCUCCACGAGAAUGAGCCACUAACAAAGGACACGCACUGGUAUACAAGAUCCCAAAUCAGCGUGAUAGGAAGAUGGUGGUCAAGCUCACACAGGAGGACAUUAAGACUAGUGACGAAUAUUUAUCCACAAUGCUUAUAGGGUAUGUGUUGGGUGAUGCUCCAUAUGAGAAUUCGAUGGAUAAUUUUGUUGUAACCGUCUGGAAUUUUGUGAGGAAACCCCAGAUAUUCUAUCAUGCUGAAGGGUAUUAUGGAUACCGAUUUGUAUCAAUAGAGGUGCUACAAACAGGACCUUAUUCCUAUCAUAACAAGCCCUUCCUUCUGACACCAUGGGUAGAGGAGUUUGUGUUUGAUAAGAAAGCAAUUACAAAAGUUCCAUUAUGGGCUAAUCUCCUAGGAUUACCAGUGGGAUAUUGGUCAAUUGAGGCAUUGGGCAAAGUAGCAAGUGCAAUAGGUAAACCCCUGUAUACUGAUAAAUAUACAGCAGACAUGAAUCGCAUUUCGUAUGCAAGAGUGUUGGUGGAAGUAGAUAUAUCCCAACCCCUAGUUGAGAAUAUAGAAAUUGAAGCUCCGUGUGGAAUAAUUCAAUAAGGGGUAGAGUAUGAUUGGAGGCUUAGAUUCUGCAAUGAAUGUAUUUGAUAUGGACACAACAUUGUGGACUACAGGUUAAAUAUAUAUCCAAGAAAGGAAGAAGAACAACCACUUUAAGAAAACGAGGAGUUCAAAGAGCCACCAAAAUGAAGAAGAAGGGUCAGAAGACGUAAGAAAAUAGUACCAACAUAGCUAGCUAAAGCAGAUGAGAGGCUCCCUCAAGCUAUACUAGCUAAUCAAGAAGGUCCAAGCAAGGAGGAUGCUACUCCCACGAGUAAGCAAGCUGAAACAGAACCAGUUUUAAGUCAAAGUAACUGAUAUGCACCACUAGCUAGAACAACUGAGGCAAAUGGUAACACUUCAAGGCCAGCAACUAAUACCACCCAUCAGCCCCAUGAUUAUGUGUACAUGGAAUGUAAGGGGGCUAAAUAAACCCUUUUAAGCAGAAAGAGGUAUUACUUUCUGAAAAAAGAAUAAAAUUGAUCUCUUUGGUUGCUUAGAGACUAGAAUAAAGGAAGAAAAGGCUAAACCAAUCCUGUUUAAAUUUGUAAAAGAAUGGAACCAUUGCUAUAACUAUCCUUAUGGUACGAAUGGGUGUAUAUGGAUGCUAUGGAAGAAAACAUAAAUGUGCAAGUUUUACACAUACAUGAGCAGUACAUUCACUGUGAGGUAGCAACCAGUAACUUCAGAGCUAAAGUCACAGUGGUGUAUGCUAGGAAAGAGGUGAAUAUAAGAUCAAUUCUAUGGAAGGAACUACAGUAAAUAGGUACAGGAUGUCAAGAACCAUGGUUGUUGAGUGGAGAUUUUAAUAAUGUGCUAAUAAAUGAUGACAGAGUGGGACAACCAGUUAUAGAGUCAGAAGUGCAAGGGUUCAAAGAUAUGAUUGACAAUUUACAGCUUACUCCUAUUAGAUCAAAAGGCAGUUAUUACACAUGGUGCAAUAAGCAGCAGGGAGCCAAUACGGUGUACAACAAAAUAGAUUAGGUACUUGGGAACCUUGAAUGGCUGCAAUAAUUUGGUCAGGCUGAGGUCAAGUACAUAGUGCUAGCUGUAUCUGAUCACUCCCCAGCUAUGAUUCAGUGUCUGCAGAGGACCAGUUUGCACCCAAAACCAUUAAGAUUAUAUACCACUGUCAUGGAACAUCCCCAGUUCCAUGAAAUAGUGCAACAAGUUUGAAAGGUACCUGAGAUAGGUGAUGCGAUGAUAGUUGUAUGGAAUAAGCUGAAAAGGAUAAAAAUAACACUAAAAGAUCUGUAUAAUUACACGGCAACGUAUUCUCACAAAUUGACUCAAUCAAGGCAGCAACUAGAGAUAGUGCAAGCACAUAUAACCACACGACUAUUUGAUCAAUCCCUGUUUGAGCAAGAAAAAACUCUCUUAGCUGAAAUCCAAAAGUGGAGCUUAGUGGAGGAGAAGGUAUUGAGACAAAAUCUAGAGCAUGUUGGAUUGAUUAUGGGGAUGCAAAUACAAUGUACUUUCAUGCUCAGUUGAAAAACAAACUACAACACUAUAUCCUCUAUCUACACUGAAGAUGGGGUGAAAGUAAAUGAUCCACUGGAGGUAGAGAAUGAAUUUAUCUCUUUCUUUAAAUCACUUAUGGGAAAGAAAGAAGAUGAGUUACCUUAUCUUGACUCAAUGUUAAUACAUAGUGGACCCAGAUUAGACAGAGACCAGCAGUUGAUAUUAAUUAGAAAAGUAACAUCAGAGGAAAUAGAGAAAGCUGUCAAAGGUAUGCCAAAUGAUAAAAGCCCUGGGGUAGAUGGAUUUCCCAUAGAACUCUUUAAAUCCAAAUGGAAGCAGGUCAAAACAAAGGUACGUGAAGCUGUACAAUAGUUCUUCCUAACAGACAAGAUGAUGAAGGCUUGGAAUUGCACAACACCCACCUUAAUACCUAAAGUACCUUCACCUACUAAAGUGAAGGACUUUAGGCAUAUCGCUUGAUGCUCUACCAUGUAUAAGGUGAUUUCAAAGAUCCUCACAAAUAGAAUAAAAAGAGUUUUAAAAAGUAUUAUUGGGUGCUCACAGUCUGCAUUCAUAGAAGGAAGGAAUAUUUCAGAUAAUAUACUCUUGAGCCAUGAGCUAUUCAAAAGAUAUACAAGGAAAUGGAUCUCCCCUAGAUGUGUACUAAAGGUGGAUAUUAGAAAGGCUUAUGAAACCCUUGAAUGGAGUUUUUUGCAAGCUAUGAUGAAUGAAUUGGGUUCCCAUAAAAAUUUAUCUAAUGGGUAAUGGAAUAUGUGUCCACAGUGUUCUAUUCUUUAAUGCUUAAUAGAGGUCUCACAAAGUCUUUUAAGGCUAAUAGAGGGUUGAGGCGGGGUGAUCCCAUGUCACCAUUCCUAUUUGUUAUAGCAAUGGAAUAUCUGCACAGAGAGAUGAUGCAACUGACACUAAACAAAUAAUUCCACUUCCACCCAAGAUGCAAAAGAUUUGGUUUUAUUCAUUUAUGUUUUACUGAUGAUCUCUUAAUGUUUUGCAGGGCUGAUCUGUCAUCUGUAUCCAUGUUACAAGAGUCCUUUCAUAAAUUUUCAUGUUCCUCAAGUUUGGAAGCUAAUCAGGAGAAGAGUUCCAUUUACAUGGUCGAGACCACACCAUACAUGAAAGAAGACAUACUGCAAUUGCUGAGUUAUGUGGAAGGAAGGCUGCCUUUCAAGUACUUGGGGGUUCGCCUAUCCACAAAGAAGUUGACUGUAUCUCAAUGCUUACCUCUGGUAGAGAAGUUCACAACUAGGAUUACAUGUUGGUCAGCAAAGUUAUUAUCUUACUCAGGCCAUAGUGAAUUAUCAAAGAAAGCACUGGUCGCGUGGGAAAGACUUUGAUACCCAGAAUCAGCAGGUGGGCUAAACAUUAUUAAUCUUAAGUUGUGGAAUAAGACAGCCAUCCUAAAGCACUUAUGGGCUAUCUCGAUGAAAAAAGAUACACUAUGGAUUAGAUAGGUACAUUACUACUACAUAAAGAAUAUCAAACUCGAGGACCUGGCAAGUCCUAAGAACGCAGCUUGGGUGAUGCAGAAGAUCAUAGAUCGUGGUAAAUUCAUCAUGUUACAGCAAUGCUACCAGGGGAGUAUAGAUCAAACCUUGAGAAGUCUGAUACAAGGUAACAAAUUCAAGAUUAAGAAAGCUUAUCUAACACUUCAGCCUCAAUUUCCAAGGGUGGUAUGGAAGAACAUCACACUACAUAAUAGAGUGCAUCUUAGAUAAAAAUUCCAUUUGUGGCUUGCAUUACAUGAGAGAUUAUCUACAGUUGAUAGACUUCAGAAGAUGGGGGUGCAAGUUCCUAUGAGCUGUGUUUUUUGUGAUCAAGAGGAAGAAAUAAUACACCACCUAUUCUUUAGAUGUCCUUACCAUAAGCAGAUCUGGACCAUAAUACUCAUAUGGAUGAGAGCAUACAGAGCAAUAGGUACAUGGCAUCAAGAGGUAGAAUGGAUAUGCAAGAUGGCAAAGAAGAAAGUUAUGAUCGCUGAGAUGCUAUGUAGUGUGUUUGCAAUGGUAGUAUACAACAUUUGGAAAGAUAGAAACAUGAUGAGGUUACAGAAUGGCAGAAGUGAUACAACUAAAAUAUGUCAUGAAAUAGCUAUGUACCUACACAUUCAGGGAAGAAACAAAACUUCUUGGCGGGAAAAGCUGCAAUUGCUGAAUUAUUUUCCUUAGGAGAAGUAGAAUUGAUACUUAUUGUAAAUGGAUUAUGGCUAUGUUAGUGUAUAGAUAACAUGAAUAGGCCAUAGAAAGACAAAUGAGGUGGUAGAUGAUCAGCUUCUAACCGACUAUGUAACGACUCACUUUUUUAUUAAUGAAAAUACCUGUUAAUCAAAAAAAAAUAUGAUAUUUAAGCAUGAUGCACAAA
Molecule: long non-coding RNA, 4838 nt
Organism: Capsicum annuum
Lineage: Eukaryota; Viridiplantae; Streptophyta; Magnoliopsida; Solanales; Solanaceae
Exons: 2
Source: RefSeq, a predicted model, not a curated record